UUGGUAUCAUUGUAUGAUUGAUUCAGAAAUAUCUCGAUUAAAAGAGUAUUGAAAUAUCCCAUCGGCUAGUACUCACCAGCUUGGGGUAAAGCCAGCGGUGCUCCCCAGGAGGGUGCAACGACUUGCCGAGGCAACAGAGGUAUGGUAUAUUUGGGGUUUGAGGGUCGGGCCUCUGAAGAGAACCCUUUUCUCAGUAAUGAUCCUUCCGCAGGUUCACCUACGGAAA
This 226-nucleotide unclassified non-coding RNA is filed under the name uncultured fungus. Its description in RNAcentral is "sequence contains ITS1". The record is from RNAcentral. Lineage: Eukaryota; Fungi.